This 340-nucleotide ribosomal RNA is filed under the name uncultured soil bacterium. RNAcentral describes it as "bacterial SSU rRNA". It matches the Rfam family "Bacterial small subunit ribosomal RNA", at positions 25 to 376 of the family's 1533-position model. The record is from RNAcentral.
CAGAUUGAACGCUGGCGGCAUGCCUAACACAUGCAAGUCGAACGGGAGUAGCAAUACUCUAGUGGCGGACGGGUGAGGAAUACGUAGGAAUUUGCCCUUAAGUGGGGGAUAACCCGGGGAAACCCGGAUUAAUACCGCAUGACCUCGAAAGAGCAAAGUGGGGGAUCGCAAGACCUCACGCUUUUGGAGAAGCCUACGUCGGAUUAGCUAGUUGGUGAGGUAAUGGCUCACCAAGGCGACGAUCCGUAACUGGUCUGAGAGGAUGAUCAGUCACACCGGAACUGAGACACGGUCCGGACUCCGUACGGGAGGCAGCAGUGGGGAAUAUUGGACAAGUGGG